Molecule: ribosomal RNA, 426 nt
Filed under: uncultured Fortiea sp.
Lineage: Bacteria; Bacillati; Cyanobacteriota; Cyanophyceae; Nostocales; Fortieaceae
Description: partial 16S ribosomal RNA
Rfam family: Bacterial small subunit ribosomal RNA
Source: RNAcentral
UGGGGAUUUUUCCGCAAUGGGCGAAAGCCUGACGGAACAAUNCCGCGUGAGGGAUGAAGGCNCUUGGGUUGUAAACCUCUUUUCUCAGGGAAGAAAAAAAUGACGGUACCUGAGGAAUAAGCAUCGGCUAACUCCGUGCCANCAGCCGCGGUAAUACGGAGGAUGCAAGCGUUAUCCGGAAUGAUUGGGCGUGAAGCGUCCGCAGGUGGCUGUGUAAGUCUGCUGUUAAANANUCUGGCUCAACCUNAUAANNGCAGUGGAAACUANNCGGCUAGAGUGNGUUCGGGGCAAAGGGAAUUCCUGGUGUAGCGGUGAAAUGCGUAGAGAUNNGGAAGAACACCGGUGGCGAANGCGCUCUGCUGGGCCACNACUGACACUGAGNGACGAAAGCUAGGGGAGCGAAUGGGAUUAGAUACCCCAGUAGUC